Molecule: ribosomal RNA, 568 nt
Filed under: uncultured bacterium
Lineage: Bacteria
Description: partial 16S ribosomal RNA
Rfam family: Bacterial small subunit ribosomal RNA
Source: RNAcentral
UGGGGAAUAUUGCACAACGGGCGGAAGCCUGAUGCAGCAACGCCGCGUGCGGGAUGACGGCCUUCGGGUUGUAAACCGCUUUCGCCUGUGACGAAGCGUGAGUGACGGUAAUGGGUAAAGAAGCACCGGCUAACUACGUGCCAGCAGCCGCGGUGAUACGUAGGGUGCGAGCGUUGUCCGGAUUUAUUGGGCGUAAAGGGCUCGUAGGUGGUUGAUCGCGUCGGAAGUGUAAUCUUGGGGCUUAACUCUGAGCGUGCUUUCGAUACGGGUUGACUUGAGGAAGGUAGGGGAGAAUGGAAUUCCUGGUGGAGCGGUGGAAUGCGCAGAUAUCAGGAGGAACACCAGUGGCGAAGGCGGUUCUCUGGGCCUUUCCUGACGCUGAGGAGCGAAAGCGUGGGGAGCGAACAGGCUUAGAUACCCUGGUAGUCCACGCUGUAAACGGUGGGUACUAGGUGUGGGGUCCAUUCCACGGGUUCCGUGCCGUAGCUAACGCUUUAAGUACCCCGCCUGGGGAGUACGGCCGCAAGGCUAAAACUUAAAGGAAUUGACGGGGUCAUAGCUGUUUCCU